Molecule: ribosomal RNA, 253 nt
Filed under: uncultured bacterium
Lineage: Bacteria
Description: partial 16S ribosomal RNA
Rfam family: Bacterial small subunit ribosomal RNA
Source: RNAcentral
UACGGGGGGGGCAAGCGUUGUUCGGAAUUACUGGGCGUAAAGGGCUCGUAGGUGGCCAACUAAGUCGGACGUGAAAUCCCUCAGCUUAACUGGGGAACUGCGUCCGAUACUGGAUGGCUUGAGUUUGGGAGAGGGAUGCGGAAUUCCAGGUGUAGCGGUGAAAUGCGUAGAUAUCAGGAAGAACACCGAUGGCGAAAGCAGCUCUCUGGGACGGUACUGACGCUGAGGCGCGAAAGCGUGGGGAGCGAACAGG